AUUGAACGCUGGCGGCAGGCUUAACACAUGCAAGUCGAGCGGUAACAGGAGAAGCUUGCUCCUCGCUGACGAGCGGCGGACGGGUGAGUAAUACUUAGGAAUCUACCUAGUAGUGGGGGAUAGCUCGGGGAAACUCGAAUUAAUACCGCAUACGACCUACGGGAGAAAGGGGGCAACUUGUUGCUCUCGCUAUUAGAUGAGCCUAAGUCGGAGUAGCUAGAUGGUGUGGUAAAGGCCUACCAUGGCGAGGAUCUGUAGCUGGUCUUAGAGGAUGAUCAGCCACCCCGGGACGGAGACACGGCCCGGACUCCUACGGGAGGCAGCAGUGGGGAAGAUUGGACAAUGGGGGCAACCCUGAUCCAGCCAUGCCGAGUGUGUGAAGAAGGCCUUUUGGUUGUAAAGCACUUUAAGCAGUGAAGAAGACUCUAGGGUUAAUACCCUUAGACGAUGACAUUAGCUGCAGAAUAAGCACCGGCUAACUCUGUGCCAGCCGCCGCCGUAA
This 502-nucleotide ribosomal RNA is filed under the name uncultured bacterium. RNAcentral describes it as "partial 16S ribosomal RNA". It matches the Rfam family "Bacterial small subunit ribosomal RNA", at positions 30 to 523 of the family's 1533-position model. The record is from RNAcentral.